This 429-nucleotide ribosomal RNA is filed under the name Actinomycetes bacterium. RNAcentral's name for it is "Actinobacteria bacterium partial 16S ribosomal RNA". It matches the Rfam family "Bacterial small subunit ribosomal RNA", at positions 355 to 776 of the family's 1533-position model. Lineage: Bacteria; Bacillati; Actinomycetota; Actinomycetes. The record is from RNAcentral.
UAGGGAAUCUUCCGCAAUGGGCGAAAGCCUGACGGAGCAACGCCGCGUGAGUGAUGAAGGUCUUCGGAUCGUAAAACUCUGUUAUUAGGGAAGAACAAAUGUGUAAGUAACUAUGCACGUCUUGACGGUACCUAAUCAGAAAGCCACGGCUAACUACGUGCCAGCAGCCGCGGUAAUACGUAGGUGGCAAGCGUUAUCCGGAAUUAUUGGGCGUAAAGCGCGCGUAGGCGGUUUUUUAAGUCUGAUGUGAAAGCCCACGGCUCAACCGUGGAGGGUCAUUGGAAACUGGAAAACUUGAGUGCAGAAGAGGAAAGUGGAAUUCCAUGUGUAGCGGUGAAAUGCGCAGAGAUAUGGAGGAACACCAGUGGCGAAGGCCACUUUCUGGUCUGUAACUGACGCUGAUGUGCGAAAGCGUGGGGAUCAAACAGG